Molecule: ribosomal RNA, 374 nt
Filed under: uncultured organism
Description: partial 16S ribosomal RNA
Rfam family: Bacterial small subunit ribosomal RNA
Source: RNAcentral
GGAGGGGGCAAGCGUUAUUCGGAAUUAUUGGGCGUAAAGCGCGUGUAGGCGGCUUCGUAAGUCUUUAUGUGAAAGCCCUCGGCUCAACCGAGGAAUUGCAUGGGAAACUGCGUGGCUUGAGUCCGGGAGAGGAGAGUGGAAUUCCCAGUGUAGCGGUGAAAUGCGUAGAUAUUGGGAGGAACACCGGUGGCGAAGGCGGCUCUCUGGACCGGUACUGACGCUGAGACGCGAAAGCCAGGGGAGCAAACGGGAUUAGAUACCCCGGGUAGUCCUGGCUGUAAACGAUGAGCACUUGGUGUGGCGGGUAUCGACCCCCUGCUGUGCCGAAGCUAACGCAUUAAGUGCUCCGCCUGGGGAGUACGGCCGCAAGGCUG